This 22-nucleotide microRNA is filed under the name Ascaris suum (pig roundworm). Its description in RNAcentral is "asu-miR-2b-3p". Its record names the gene asu-miR-2b-3p. Lineage: Eukaryota; Metazoa; Nematoda; Chromadorea; Rhabditida; Ascarididae. The record is from miRBase by way of RNAcentral.
UAUCACAGUUCGAUUUGGCCCG